This 388-nucleotide transfer-messenger RNA is filed under the name Erysipelotrichaceae. RNAcentral's name for it is "RUG11795 sp017941505 Standard tmRNA". It matches the Rfam family "transfer-messenger RNA". Rfam says of the family: Bacterial tmRNA, also known as 10Sa RNA or SsrA, is named for its dual tRNA and mRNA-like properties. Its role is to liberate the mRNA from a stalled ribosome. RNAcentral also lists the same sequence under 1 other name. The record is from RNAcentral. Lineage: Bacteria; Bacillati; Bacillota; Erysipelotrichia; Erysipelotrichales.
GGGGGUGUAUUUGGUAUUCGAUGAGUAAAUGUUUGGACAUGACUACAGCCGCGAAGGAAACGCGCUAUAACCAAAACAAAAUUAACUGCUAAAAACAGAUUCGCUAAUGUUUUUGGUGCAAACCAAAGCAUGGCUUUUGCUGCCUAAUAGAGUCUAAUAACUGACCUGCAGCCCCGGCGGUUCACCUGGACUUCUUAGUGACCGCUGCGUGUCAAAUAGAGGAAGAUAAGGAAGUAUAAAGGUUCGGUAUACUUCUCGAAAAUUUCAGAACCAGACGGAUCAACCUCUGUUUCCAUCUACGUUGCUCCGUUCAUUGAUGGAAAAAGCUGUAAACGUCUAGUCGUGGGACUUUGCUUAGACAGGAGUUCGACCCUCCUCACCUCCACCA